RNAcentral lists this ribosomal RNA (484 nucleotides) under uncultured bacterium. Its description in RNAcentral is "partial 16S ribosomal RNA". It matches the Rfam family "Bacterial small subunit ribosomal RNA", at positions 30 to 507 of the family's 1533-position model. The record is from RNAcentral.
AGUGAACGCUGGCGGCAGGCCUAACACAUGCAAGUCGAGCGGCAGCGCGGGGGCAACCCUGGCGGCGAGCGGCGGACGGGUGAGGAAUUCGUCGGAAUCUGCCUUUUUGUGGGGGAUAACGUAGGGAAACUUACGCUAAUACCGCAUACGUCCUACGGGAGAAAGUGGGGGACCGCAAGGCCUCACGCAGAAAGAUGAGCCGACGACCGAUUAGCUAGUUGGUGGGGUAAAGGCCCACCAAGGCGACGAUCGGUAGCUGGUCUGAGAGGAUGAUCAGCCACACUGGGACUGGGGCACGGCCCAGAGUCCUACGGGAGGCAGCAGUGGGGAAUAUUGGACAAGGGGCGAAAGCCUGAUCCAGCCAUGCCGCGUGUGUGAAGAAGGCCUUCGGGUUGUAAAGCACUUUUGUCCGGAAAGAAAUCCCUGGAGCUAAUACCUUCGGGGGAUGACGGUACCGGAAGAAUAAGCACCGGCUAACUUCGUG